Molecule: ribosomal RNA, 251 nt
Filed under: uncultured Georgenia sp.
Lineage: Bacteria; Bacillati; Actinomycetota; Actinomycetes; Allobogoriellales; Allobogoriellaceae
Description: partial 16S ribosomal RNA
Rfam family: Bacterial small subunit ribosomal RNA
Source: RNAcentral
UACGUAGGGCGCAAGCGUUGUCCGGAAUUAUUGGGCGUAAAGAGCUCGUAGGCGGUCUGUCGCGUCUGCUGUGAAAACGCGGGGCUCAACCCCGCGCCUGCAGUGGGUACGGGCAGACUAGAGUGCGGUAGGGGAGACUGGAAUUCCUGGUGUAGCGGUGGAAUGCGCAGAUAUCAGGAGGAACACCGGUGGCGAAGGCGGGUCUCUGGGCCGUUACUGACGCUGAGGAGCGAAAGCAUGGGGAGCGAACA